CCUACGGGUGGCAGCAGUGGGGAAUAUUGGACAAUGGGCGAAAGCCUGAUCCAGCCAUGCCGCGUGUGUGAAGAAGGCCUUCGGGUUGUAAAGCACUUUCAGUGGGGAAGAAAGCCUUGGGGCUAAUACCCUCGAGGAAGGACAUCACCCACAGAAGAAGCACCGGCUAACUCCGUGCCAGCAGCCGCGGUAAUACGGAGGGUGCGAGCGUUAAUCGGAAUUACUGGGCGUAAAGCGCGCGUAGGCGGUCUGAUAAGCCGGUUGGGAAAGCCCCGGGCUCAACCUGGGAACGGCAUCCGGAACUGUCAGGCUAGAGUGCAGGAGAGGAAGGUAGAAUUCCCGGUGUAGCGGUGAAAUGCGUAGAGAUCGGGAGGAAUACCAGUGGCGAAGGCGGCCUUCUGGACUGACACUGACGCUGAGGUGCGAAAGCGUGGGUAGCAAACAGGAUUAGAUACCCUGGUAGUC
Molecule: ribosomal RNA, 465 nt
Filed under: Vreelandella stevensii
Lineage: Bacteria; Pseudomonadati; Pseudomonadota; Gammaproteobacteria; Oceanospirillales; Halomonadaceae
Description: partial 16S ribosomal RNA
Rfam family: Bacterial small subunit ribosomal RNA
Source: RNAcentral